RNAcentral lists this transfer RNA (89 nucleotides) under Gemmatimonadota bacterium. RNAcentral's name for it is "Gemmatimonadetes bacterium (beach sand metagenome) tRNA-Leu". It matches the Rfam family "tRNA". Rfam says of the family: Transfer RNA (tRNA) molecules are approximately 80 nucleotides in length. Their secondary structure includes four short double-helical elements and three loops (D, anti-codon, and T loops). Lineage: Bacteria; Pseudomonadati; Gemmatimonadota. The record is from RNAcentral.
GCCGGAGUGGCGAAAUCGGCAGACGCAGCGGACUCAAAAUCCGCCGGCCCGCGAGGGUCAUCCCGGUUCGAGCCCGGGCUCCGGCACCA